This 147-nucleotide small nuclear RNA is filed under the name Chelonoidis abingdonii (Abingdon island giant tortoise). RNAcentral describes it as "U2 spliceosomal RNA (ENSCABG00000006763.1)". It matches the Rfam family "U2 spliceosomal RNA", at positions 38 to 185 of the family's 192-position model. Rfam says of the family: U2 is a small nuclear RNA (snRNA) component of the spliceosome (involved in pre-mRNA splicing). Lineage: Eukaryota; Metazoa; Chordata; Testudines; Testudinidae. The record is from RNAcentral.
AUCUGUUCUUAUCAGUUUAAUAUUUGUUAUGUCCUUUAUUUGAGGACUAUAUAUUAAAUUGAUUUUUGAAACAGGGGGAUGGAAUAGGCACUUGCUUUGUCCACCCCAUGCAUUGACCUGGUAUUGCAGAGCCUCCAGGACUGGUAG